This 467-nucleotide ribosomal RNA is filed under the name uncultured bacterium. Its description in RNAcentral is "partial 16S ribosomal RNA". It matches the Rfam family "Bacterial small subunit ribosomal RNA", at positions 28 to 506 of the family's 1533-position model. The record is from RNAcentral.
GACGAACGCUGGCGGCGUGCUUAACACAUGCAAGUCGAACGGAGAGGCCCUGCUUUUGUGGGGUGCUCGAGUGGCGAACGGGUGAGUAGCACGUGAGUAACCUGCCCUUGACUUUGGGAUAACUUCAGGAAACUGGGGCUAAUACCGGAUAGGAGCUCCUGCUGCAUGGUGGGGGUUGGAAAGUUUCGGCGGUUGGGGAUGGACUCGCGGCUUAUCAGCUUGUUGGUGGGGUAGUGGCUUACCAAGGCUUUGACGGGUAGCCGGCCUGAGAGGGUGACCGGCCACAUUGGGACUGAGAUACGGCCCAGACUCCUACGGGAGGCAGCAGUGGGGAAUAUUGCACAAUGGGCGGAAGCCUGAUGCAGCAACGCCGCGUGCGGGAUGACGGCCUUCGGGUUGUAAACCGCUUUCGCCUGUGACGAAGCGUGAGUGACGGUAAUGGGUAAAGAAGCACCGGCUAACUACGU